Molecule: RNA transcript, 1207 nt
Organism: Zea mays
Lineage: Eukaryota; Viridiplantae; Streptophyta; Magnoliopsida; Poales; Poaceae
Exons: 3
Source: RefSeq, a predicted model, not a curated record
AAAUUAUUGUUUAUGUAAUCUAAAGUUUAGAAAAGGUUGUACCUGAGACGAAAUCCGGGCGGCAGCAGCCAUCGGAGGCUGGGCGGCAGCCGCCAGCCUCCCGCUCGCACGGGAGCCACACACGGACACCACGCUGCGUUCACUCGCAACCGUGGCCCGUGGCCCGUGGGUUUCGCCUGUGGUCACCGCGAGGCCGCAUCCAGUCGCCCAUGCCGCCUUCCGCAUCGAUGCCGGCGACGCACACGGCCGUGUACGUGGCGGCGGUGCCCCUGCGGGCGCCCAAGGGCCCCGCCCAGCUGCUGAUGUCGGCGGGCUACUCGCUGGGCAUGUGGGACCUGCAGCACUUCAUGGUGCUCCUCCGUCCCGACCCGGCGCUGGCCCAGGCGCUGGUCUUCGAUUUCCAGCCGCGGGACCCGGAGGACGUCCUCGCCGCGCUCGCGGUGCUGUCGCGGAGAGAGAUCCCUGGCGUGGUUCGCAGAAGAACGCUGCGGAGGGUCCCGGACGGGCGGUGCUGGCUCGUGGGGCACUGCUGCGACGCCGUCGGUGCCGCCACAAGGUUCAGCGAGCGGUGGACGACCGGCCUGGUGGUCGGGGAGCACGACUGCCGGGACUACACCAACGGUAAUCUGUCAGCACUCUCAUAGUCGUCGCCAUUGCAAAAUCGUUGUGUAGUGCGAUCCGUCUCAUAUAUCCUCUCUUUGUUUGGUGGAUCGCUAAGGGCUGGUCGAGGUCCUGACAGGUGAAAAACGUGUCCUGGAGUCGCUCAGAUUGCGCGGCAACGGCAGCAGCACCAGUGGGGCGGCGCCGCCGUGAUGGAUGAUCUAAACUGUACGGACUACGGUCAUAUAUCGGAUUCUAUAAACUGGAGACCCAACACGCAAUGCAGAAAUUUCAUGGAAACGAGGAGACGUUUUGAAAGGGAAAAAAAAUGAGGAGAGAAAACAAAGAAGCUACUACUCAAGACAAGGCGAUGGUGUAACGAAGAAAUGAGGCCACUUGACUAGUUGACUGUGAAAGAUACUAGAGGUGCUACGUGAAGCAAGAAAUUAGACACGCUAUGUGGAGAAGCACCGUUGACUAAGUAAACUUAGGAGGUGUUUGGUUUGAAGAAAUCAAUCUAUUCUAAAUGAGGUGGUAUAUCAUGAGUCUAUUAUACAAAUUUUGUGGAAUAAACUUAUUCUUUAUAUUAUUACUAAUUAUUAGCCCA